Molecule: long non-coding RNA, 1447 nt
Organism: Hypanus sabinus (Atlantic stingray)
Lineage: Eukaryota; Metazoa; Chordata; Chondrichthyes; Myliobatiformes; Dasyatidae
Exons: 7
Source: RefSeq, a predicted model, not a curated record
UUACAAUCAUUAUGAGAUUAUAAUGUUCUUUUUCAAAAUACAUCAUAGUUGGUUUUAUUCAAUGUACUGCUAAAGGCACACUUGCAACUUGUUAGCAUUGGUCUGAACUGACAACACCAGUUGUCAGUUCAGUGAGUAACUGCCAGCAUCUUCUUUAUAGCUAUUCUUGUGGUGUUCACUUGGCACCAGAUUGCAGAGGAAAAGCCGCGAGGCAGAAAGGUUAUCUGUAAAAGUACGUGAAAGAUAUACGUCAUCGUUCCACCAGGUCAUAAGUACUCUCCAGGUAGGUCUGAGGGUCUCGGCCUACCUACAACAGCUGAUCCUCUGAUCCUCCGAUCUCCAGUCACAAGCACUCUUUACUCCCGCUCCGCUGCCCACUCCUGAAAGUGGGCCGCUUUUUAAAGCCUGCGCUCGCCGCUGAUGUCACCCAUGCUUGCGCAGCUUUACCUUCCUCCUCAGGUACUCUCCAGAGAAGCUAGUCCAAAGGCAUUUCAACAACCUUGAAAUAAAAUGCAAGCAAGUAAUCAAUCUGGUGGAAGUGCAGCUUAAGUCAAGAUGUCGCCUGUAAUUGAAACAACAUUAUACUGCUUUGAAACGGGUUUGGAGCUGCUUUGUGAAGGUGAUGAAGUAUCAAGCAGGGCCAGCCUUCUGGAGGAAAUCUGCAGUGCUUCAAGCAAUGUGCAUGAUGAGUGAGGCUCUCAGCCGAUGAGACAGACUAUUGUUUAUCAUGAGAUUGAUUGUUUGACAGUCUUUUUGAGGAUUUUGUUGGCUUUCUUUGUUCUUGUGGCUGCCUGCAAGAGGAUGAAUUUCAAGGCUGUAUGGAGUAAAAUGUGAAGAAGUCAGUAAAAUACUACUUGUGUCCAAACCGAUCCUAUCGCCUGCAGAGGUAAUUUAAGGCUGCUUGAGUAAUAACUGUGAGUAAUUCUAAAUGAACUGUCAUCACCCACUACUUGUUACACAUUACACUCACUGGCCACUUUAUUAGGUACACCAGCUCGUUAAUGCAAAUAUUCAAUCAGCCAAACAUGUGGCAGCAACUCAAUGCAUGCAGACACGAUUAAGAGGUUCAGUUGUUGUUCAGACCAAACAUCAGGAUGGGGAAGAAUUGUAAUCUAAGUGACUUUGACUGUGUUGGUGCCAGACAGGGUGGUUUGAGUAUCUCAGAAACUGUGGAUCUCCUGGGAUUUUCACACUCAGCGGUUUCUAGAGUUUACAGAGAGUGGUGCGAAAAGCAAAACUAGUGAGCGGCAGUUCUGUACAAGAAGGCAUCUUGGUAAUGAGAAGUCAGAGGAGAAUAGAGACUGGUUGAAGCUGACAGGGAGAUGACAGUAAUUCAAAUAACCACACAUUACAAUAGUGGUGUGCAGGAGAGCAUCUCUGAAUGCACAACACAUUGAACCUUGAAGUAGAUGGGCAAUAGUUGCAGAAGACCAUGAACACACAUUCU